GGCACUUUAGCUCAGUUGGUAGAGCAACCUGCUCAUAACAGGUAGGAUGAGGGAUCGUAGCCCUUCGGUGUCACCA
RNAcentral lists this transfer RNA (76 nucleotides) under Vibrio coralliirubri. RNAcentral's name for it is "tRNA-Met". It matches the Rfam family "tRNA". Rfam says of the family: Transfer RNA (tRNA) molecules are approximately 80 nucleotides in length. Their secondary structure includes four short double-helical elements and three loops (D, anti-codon, and T loops). Further hydrogen bonds mediate the characteristic L-shaped molecular structure. tRNAs have two regions of fundamental functional importance: the anti-codon, which is responsible for specific mRNA codon recognition, and the 3' end, to which the tRNAs corresponding amino acid is attached (by aminoacyl-tRNA synthetases). tRNAs cope with the degeneracy of the genetic code in two manners: having more than one tRNA (with a specific anti-codon) for a particular amino acid; and 'wobble' base-pairing, i.e. permitting non-standard base-pairing at the 3rd anti-codon position. The record is from RNAcentral. Lineage: Bacteria; Pseudomonadati; Pseudomonadota; Gammaproteobacteria; Vibrionales; Vibrionaceae.